UCAAGCAACCUCAAAUCCACAACAAAUUCGCAACAAACCACAUAAUCAUUGACCAAUAAGAGUUGAUAUAGUAACAUAAUGAAAAACCUAAGCCACAAUUUUUUCUCUAAGACCACUGGCUUUCCCCGCCAGUGCUGUGUGAAUGCUCUUUCUCUUUCAAGUAGUUUUCGGCUUUCCCCUCGUCAAUGUUUCCGUAGUUUCAGGUGGUGGUUUUGUAAGAGCUUUAUCAUUGAGGCGAAAGUGGAGGCUGAAUCAACAUUGUUUCAAAGUCGGUCUCCGUUCCUAGUAUCUUCAACUGGUUACAUGUGUCCUCUUGUCCCAGUUAGCUAGAAGACUUCAUCUUUGGUUUGAGGGAAUCAAAGUCUCGGUUGUCUCACAAUGUGAGGCUCUUCGCAUUGAUUCGGGAAAUCUCAAAGAGAGGUCAAUGAAUUUCUUUCAAAGUCCAAUCCAUAUCUGAAGGGUGGAGGUGGUUAGGAGAUGCUUUGGC
Arabidopsis thaliana (thale cress) is the source of this 487-nucleotide long non-coding RNA. RefSeq annotates it as other RNA. The record is from RefSeq. The transcript is spliced from 2 exons. Lineage: Eukaryota; Viridiplantae; Streptophyta; Magnoliopsida; Brassicales; Brassicaceae.